RNAcentral lists this ribosomal RNA (497 nucleotides) under uncultured bacterium. Its description in RNAcentral is "partial 16S ribosomal RNA". It matches the Rfam family "Bacterial small subunit ribosomal RNA", at positions 28 to 507 of the family's 1533-position model. The record is from RNAcentral.
GAUGAACGCUGGCGGCGUGCCUAAUACAUGCAAGUCGAGCGAACAGAUGAGGAGCUUGCUCCUCUGACGUUAGCGGCGGACGGGUGAGUAACACGUGGAUAACCUACCUAUAAGACUGGGAUAACUUCGGGAAACCGGAGCUAAUACCGGAUAAUAUAUUGAACCGCAUGGUUCAAUAGUGAAAGACGGUUUUGCUGUCACUUAUAGAUGGAUCCGCGCCGCAUUAGCUAGUUGGUAAGGUAACGGCUUACCAAGGCAACGAUGCGUAGCCGACCGGAGAGGGUGAUCGGCCACACUGGAACUGAGACACGGUCCAGACUCCUACGGGAGGCAGCAGUAGGGAAUCUGCCGCAAUGGGCGAAAGCCUGACGGAGCAACGCCGCGUGAGUGAUGAAGGUCUUCGGAUCGUAAAACUCUGUUAUUAGUGAAGAACAAAUGUGUAAGUAACUAUGCACGUCUUGACGGUACCUAAUCAGAAAGCCACGGCUAACUACGUG